RNAcentral lists this ribosomal RNA (207 nucleotides) under uncultured bacterium. Its description in RNAcentral is "partial 16S ribosomal RNA". It matches the Rfam family "Bacterial small subunit ribosomal RNA", at positions 568 to 774 of the family's 1533-position model. The record is from RNAcentral.
CGCGUAGGCGGUCUUUUAAGUCGGGGGUGAAAGCCUGUGGCUCAACCACAGAAUUGCCUUCGAUACUGGGAGACUUGAGUUCGGUAGAGGUUGGUGGAACUGCGAGUGUAGAGGUGAAAUUCGUAGAUAUUCGCAAGAACACCGGUGGCGAAGGCGGCCAACUGGACCGACACUGACGCUGAGGCGCGAAAGCGUGGGGAGCAAACA